This 406-nucleotide ribosomal RNA is filed under the name uncultured bacterium. RNAcentral's name for it is "partial 16S ribosomal RNA". It matches the Rfam family "Bacterial small subunit ribosomal RNA", at positions 29 to 526 of the family's 1533-position model. The record is from RNAcentral.
AUUGAACGCUGGCGGCAGGCCUAACACAUGCAAGUCGAACGAGUGGCGGACGGGUGAGUAAUGUCUGGGAAACUGCCUGCUGGAGGGGGAUAACUACUGGAAACGGUAGCUAAUACCGCAUACCAUCGGAUGUGCCCAGAUGGGAUUAGCUAGUAGGUGGGGUAAAGGCUCACCUAGGCGACGAUCCCUAGAUGGUCUGAGAGGAUGACCAGCCAAACUGGAACGGGGACACGGUCAGGACUCCUACGGGAGGCAGCAGUGGGGAUAAUUGCACAAUGGGAGCAAGCCGGAGGAAGCAAUGCCGCGGGGAGGAAGAGGGCCUUCGAGUUGUAAAGUACUUUCAGCGGGGAGGCGUUACCCGCAGAGGAAGCACCGGCUAACUCCGUGCCAGCAGCCGCGGUAAUUC